ACUGCUAAUACCCAAUGUGCCGAAAGGUGAAAGAUUUAUCGUCUGAAGAUGGGCUCGCGUCUGAUUAGCUAGAUGGUGGGGUAAGAGCCUACCAUGGCAACGAUCAGUAGCUGGUCUGAGAGGAUGAGCAGCCACACUGGGACUGAGACACGGCCCAGACUCCUACGGGAGGCAGCAGUGGGGAAUUUUCCGCAAUGGGCGAAAGCCUGACGGAGCAAUACCGCGUGAGGGAGGAAGGUCCUUGGAUUGUAAACCUCUUUUAUCAGGGAAGAAGUUCUGACGGUACCUGAUGAAUAAGCAUCGGCUAACUCCGUGCCAGCAGCCGCGGUAAUACGGAGGAUGCAAGCGUUAUCCGGAAUUAUUGGGCGUAAAGCGUCCGUAGGUGGUUAUGCAAGUCUGCCGUUAAAGAAUGGAGCUUAACUCCAUAGGAGCGGUGGAAACUGCAAGACUAGAGUACAGUAGGGGUAGCAGGAAUUCCCAGUGUAGCGGUGAAAUGCGUAGAUAUUGGGAAGAACAUCGGUGGCGAAAGCGUGCUACUGGGCUGAAACUGACACUGAGGGACGAAAGCUAGGGUAGCGAAUGGGAUUAGAUACCCCUGUAGU
RNAcentral lists this ribosomal RNA (602 nucleotides) under Synechocystis sp. Algini MNE. RNAcentral's name for it is "bacterial SSU rRNA". It matches the Rfam family "Bacterial small subunit ribosomal RNA", at positions 159 to 794 of the family's 1533-position model. The record is from RNAcentral. Lineage: Bacteria; Bacillati; Cyanobacteriota; Cyanophyceae; Synechococcales; Merismopediaceae.